AAUUCAUGGUGUGGGUAUUUCUGAAUCAAUGUUUUAAAAUAUUCCUAUGCCUCAAGGAAACUUUCUCAUUCCAUUUGUCUAAAAACAAUAAUCUCCUUUCUUAAUU
Gossypium hirsutum (cotton) is the source of this 106-nucleotide non-coding RNA. NCBI's taxonomy places the organism in Eukaryota, Viridiplantae, Streptophyta, Magnoliopsida, Malvales, Malvaceae. The record is from Rfam.